This 354-nucleotide transfer-messenger RNA is filed under the name Deltaproteobacteria bacterium. It matches the Rfam family "transfer-messenger RNA". From Rfam's summary of the family: Bacterial tmRNA, also known as 10Sa RNA or SsrA, is named for its dual tRNA and mRNA-like properties. Its role is to liberate the mRNA from a stalled ribosome. RNAcentral also lists the same sequence under 1 other name. Lineage: Bacteria; Pseudomonadati; Myxococcota; Myxococcia. The record is from RNAcentral.
GGGGGCGAAACGGCUUCGACGGGGAUAUAGAAACAUAGGUUGCAUACCGAGUUCCUGCCGACUCGUAAAAAAGGUGGGAUUAAAAUAAUCGCAGACGAUUAUAACUACGCUUUAGCCGCGUAAUGUAGGCUAACGCCCUCCCGGGUUUUCCUGCGAACCCGGAAAGGGCGUCGAUUAGCAGGAUAGCCUCUUGUGGUUGCCUGUUACACACGAGGCGAAAUUUAUAACAGGCUAACUUCUCAAGUAUCCGGCCUGAAGGAGCCUUGAGAAGUGAAAAUGAAAAUUCAGGCUAUGUAUGUAGAAGCCUAUGUGGAAUAUUGUCGGACGCGGGUUCGACUCCCGCCGCCUCCACCA